GGUAAGAUGGCCGAAGCAGGCGCAAGGUUGUAGCCCUUGUUAUAGAGGUUAGAGUCCUUUUUUUAUCA
This 68-nucleotide transfer RNA is filed under the name Pachytriton brevipes (black-spotted stout newt). Its description in RNAcentral is "tRNA-Tyr". It matches the Rfam family "tRNA". From Rfam's summary of the family: Transfer RNA (tRNA) molecules are approximately 80 nucleotides in length. The record is from RNAcentral. Lineage: Eukaryota; Metazoa; Chordata; Amphibia; Caudata; Salamandridae.